This is a long non-coding RNA of Mustela erminea (ermine), 694 nucleotides long. RefSeq lists it as uncharacterized. The transcript is spliced from 3 exons. The record is from RefSeq and is a predicted model, not a curated record. NCBI's taxonomy places the organism in Eukaryota, Metazoa, Chordata, Mammalia, Carnivora, Mustelidae.
GCUGCCCUCGUUGCUGGGACUGUGCAACAUGGGCAUGUGGGCAGUGGGGAGGGGACAGUCAAGUCUGCCUAGACCCAUGCCAAGUUUCCUGUACGAGGUCCUUUCAAAAAGUUCCCACAGGCCAAAUUGAACAAGCGUCUCUACCCACAAAUAGAGCGAGCUCUUGUAUUUGCCGUCUUGUUUUCUCAACCGACACCACCUCCGGAAGCUGAGAGUGACUGUUGGGCUUUUCCAGUGGAUGCUGGAACGCCAUUUGCCCCAGCCGUGGGGGCGGAGGAGGCAGAAUAAUUGUUUGGCUGCAAGAAGCCACACAGGAACCUGGAGAAGAUGUGGGGAUGGUGGUAAGAUGAAGGAGGAGCCUUAACGUGAGCAUCUACCACAGGAGGCAGCCCAGCUCUCCCUGCCCUAGUGGGAGUGAACAUUGCCUCUGACCCAGCUACUCAGAUGCUUGCUACCAGGUUUGUUCUCCAGGCCUACCACAGAUGAGUACCCCACACCCUAACCCAACAUCCCCAAGAAUUAGAGCCCUGGAUCCCUGUACCCCACAGCCACUUGCAUGGCAGGCCCAUACAGAAACAAAACACAAUCACCUUAGACUUUGGCAUACUGAGGCCAGACCCUGACUCCAUCAACCUCACUCUCCUGCCACUAAUCACUCAAUAAAAAUAUUGUUUAAUAAUAUGCCUAUGUUGGG